CUUUAAGUUGUGUGGUCUGGGUGAGCCCAGCAGUAAAAGUUGCUGGUUUGGGCCAAAAACAAGGCACGGGGCAAGCCCAGCCUAAAACUAGCUUGCAGGUUGGUGAGGAAAGGCCCAACCAAGGCUAUCUCCUUAGUUUUUGGGUCAGGGCAAGUCAAACCCAACAGCAUAAGAUGUGGGCAAGUGGGCUGAGACUUUAACAAAGCCCAGCAAGUGAUACGGGCUUGUUGUAGGCGAGCCUGGGGCACGGGG
Molecule: long non-coding RNA, 252 nt
Filed under: Malus domestica (apple)
Lineage: Eukaryota; Viridiplantae; Streptophyta; Magnoliopsida; Rosales; Rosaceae
Description: long non-coding RNA (MDOM_LNC008215)
Source: RNAcentral